RNAcentral lists this ribosomal RNA (893 nucleotides) under Nectria pseudocinnabarina. Its description in RNAcentral is "LSU rRNA". It matches the Rfam family "Eukaryotic large subunit ribosomal RNA", at positions 38 to 962 of the family's 3401-position model. The record is from RNAcentral. Lineage: Eukaryota; Fungi; Ascomycota; Sordariomycetes; Hypocreales; Nectriaceae.
GCAUAUCAAUAAGCGGAGGAAAAGAAACCAACAGGGAUUGCCCUAGUAACGGCGAGUGAAGCGGCAACAGCUCAAAUUUGAAAUCUGGCCCUUGUGGUCCGAGUUGUAAUUUGUAGAGGAUGCUUUUGGUUAGGUGCCUUCCGAGUUCCCUGGAACGGGACGCCAUAGAGGGUGAGAGCCCCGUCUGGUUGGAUACCGAGCCUCUGUAAAGCUCCUUCGACGAGUCGAGUAGUUUGGGAAUGCUGCUCUAAAUGGGAGGUAUAUGUCUUCUAAAGCUAAAUACCGGCCAGAGACCGAUAGCGCACAAGUAGAGUGAUCGAAAGAUGAAAAGCACUUUGAAAAGAGGGUUAAAAAGUACGUGAAAUUGUUGAAAGGGAAGCGCUUGUGACCAGACUUGGGCCCGGUCAAUCAUCCAGGGUUCUCCCUGGUGCACUUGGCCGGCCCAGGCCAGCAUCAGUUUGUCGCGGGGGAUAAAGGCGUCGGGAAUGUGGCUCCCCCGGGAGUGUUAUAGCCCUUCGUGUAAUACCCUGCUUCGGACUGAGGUUCGCGCAUCUGCAAGGAUGCUGGCGUAAUGGUCAUCAGCGACCCGUCUUGAAACACGGACCAAGGAGUCGUCUUCGUAUGCGAGUGUUCGGGUGUCAAACCCCUACGCGUAAUGAAAGUGAACGCAGGUGAGAGCUUCGGCGCAUCAUCGACCGAUCCUGAUGUUCUCGGAUGGAUUUGAGUAAGAGCAUACGGGGCCGGACCCGAAAGAAGGUGAACUAUGCCUGUAUAGGGUGAAGCCAGAGGAAACUCUGGUGGAGGCUCGCAGCGGUUCUGACGUGCAAAUCGAUCGUCAAAUAUGGGCAUGGGGGCGAAAGACUAAUCGAACCUUCUAGUAGCUGGUUUCCGCG